UAAUAUACACGAAAAGGGAAGUUGCGUGAACAACCUCCCUUUUAGGACAGUACCGUUUAAGACGGCAACCUGGAUAAUUAUUAGAAGAAA
Molecule: small RNA, 90 nt
Filed under: Enterococcus pallens ATCC BAA-351
Lineage: Bacteria; Bacillati; Bacillota; Bacilli; Lactobacillales; Enterococcaceae
Description: RNA anti-toxin A
Rfam family: RNA anti-toxin A
Source: Rfam by way of RNAcentral